This 394-nucleotide ribosomal RNA is filed under the name Pterocystida sp. RNAcentral describes it as "partial small subunit ribosomal RNA". It matches the Rfam family "Eukaryotic small subunit ribosomal RNA", at positions 582 to 975 of the family's 1831-position model. The record is from RNAcentral. Lineage: Eukaryota; Centroplasthelida; Pterocystida.
AUUCCAGCUCCAAUAGCGUAUAUUAAAGUUGUUGCAGUUAAAAAGCUCGUAGUCUGACCGUUGUCCUGGCAUUGAGCGUCCGUGGUUACUGAUCAUGUGUACGCGAGGUGCUGGACACUACCUUCGGAGGAGCGUUCGUGCUUUUAACUAAGUGCGUGCGGGAUUCCGAUAGUUUACUUUGAGAAAAAUAGAGUGUUCAAAGCAGGCGUUUGCCUUGAAUACAUUAGCAUGGGAUAAUGAAAUAGGACGUUGGUUCUAUUUUGAUGGUUUACGGACCGACGUAAUGAUUAAUAGGGACAGUUGGGGACAUUUAUAUUCCAUGGCUAGAGGUGAAAUUCUUGGAUUCAUGGAAGAUAAACUACUGCGAAAGCAUUUGUCAAAGAUGUUUUCAUCG